CCGCCUCCUGGCAAGUAGGCCCUGCCUCCCGAGUCCUGACUUAGUCAUGUUGAGACCUGGUCUGCUUCUGUAUCUAGAUCCACGGUGUCCUCCAGUCCUAACACGCCUCCCCAGACACCCAGAAAUAGGACUCAUAGACUUGCCCUCAGAACCAGCCCCCGCCCGCCCCACGUAGUCGCAGCCUCCAACAGCGCAAGUGGCUGGUGAGCCUCAGUCAACAGCCCCCUCCAGCCUCGCAGCCACCGCACAGGCCUGCUUUGCACUUGGAUUGUCCCGACCGUGUUCCUGGAACUUGGGGGUAGCAAAAGAGAUAUGCAAACAAACCGGAAUGGAAUGGCACUCGCUCAACCUCUGGGGAAAUCCGCACUCCAUAAAUGACCAAGAGGGCCCGGUACAGAAAUGCUACAUCCGUGUUCCACGGAAACCCACUUCAUUGUUCAUCACUUCAUUUUGAUUUUGUGACGACACCGGCAAAAGUUGUGUGUUUACGCUCUUGGAGGCUUUCCGAACAGGAUGUUUCUCAGUGAAAAAGUCAUGCAUCGGGGGCAAGUCUGACAUCAGGCGUUUCUUUCACGGAUCGUGCCUUUGGCGUUGGAUCUCAGGCACUCUUUGACUUGUUCUAGAUCCUGAAGGUUUUCUUCCAUAUUUUCUCUAAAAUUUUAUAGCUUCAUAUUUUACAUUUCAGUCCGUGGUCCAUUUGCAGGGUUUUUCUUUUUUGUUAUUUUGUCGUCUUGUUUUGUUUUGUUUUGUUUUUGUAUAAAAUGUGAGAAUAAAGUUGAGUUUCUUUUUUCUUUUCUUUCUUUU
RNAcentral lists this long non-coding RNA (804 nucleotides) under Felis catus (domestic cat). RNAcentral's name for it is "lncRNA (ENSFCAG00000043289.2)". Lineage: Eukaryota; Metazoa; Chordata; Mammalia; Carnivora; Felidae. The record is from RNAcentral.